GAUGAAGAACGUAGCAAAAUGCGAUAAGUAAUGUGAAUUGCAGAAUUCAGUGAAUCAUCGAAUCUUUGAACGCACAUUGCGCCCGCCAGUAUUCUGGCGGGCAUGCCUGUUCGAGCGUCAUUUCAACCCUCAAGCACAGCUUGGUGUUGGGCGUCUGUCCCGCUUCGCGCGCGGACUCGCCCCAAAGGUAUUGGCAGCGGUCGUGCCAGCUUCUCGCGCAGCACAUUGCGCUUCUCGAGGCACCGGUGGGCCCGCGUCCAUCAAGCUCACCCCCCCAGUUUGACCUCGGAUCAGGUAGGGAUACCCGCUGAACUUAAGCAUAUCAAUAAGCGGAGGA
RNAcentral lists this unclassified non-coding RNA (337 nucleotides) under soil metagenome. RNAcentral's name for it is "partial contains 5.8S ribosomal RNA, internal transcribed spacer 2, and large subunit ribosomal RNA". The stretch from base 1 to 120 matches the Rfam family "5.8S ribosomal RNA", at positions 35 to 154 of the family's 154-position model. The record is from RNAcentral.